This 271-nucleotide long non-coding RNA is filed under the name Zostera marina. RNAcentral describes it as "long non-coding RNA (ZMAR_LNC005828)". The record is from RNAcentral. Lineage: Eukaryota; Viridiplantae; Streptophyta; Magnoliopsida; Alismatales; Zosteraceae.
AAAUCUUUAUGUAUAAGUUCUUUUGGUGGAUUCUUCAUUCCCUUAGACAUGAGUUCUCUUAAAUCCCUUACACAUUUAAAGAUUUCAAGUUGUGAAAACCUUACAUGUCUUCCAAACAACAUGGGUUCUCUUAAAUCCCUUACACAUUUAGAGAUUCAAUUUUGUAAAAACCUUAAAUGUCUUCCAAACAACAUGGGUUCUCUUAAAUCCCUUACACAUUUAGAGAUUUCAUAUUGUGAAAACCUCACAUGUCUUCCAAACAACUUGGGUU